AACCUAGCACACCUGCGGUGUGUACCUGCGGAGGGAUCAUUAUGAAUUUGAACUUGUGCAGCUGUUUCAUUUAUUUUGAACGCUCGCAAUUCUUUUUCUGUGAACUGUUCUCGAGUUUUCAUCUUUUUUUGUUUGAAAACUCGGGUCAUUUUUGUUUUCUUGAUUUUCUAUUCCAUAUUUUCUUUUUCUUGGAGUAAUUCUUGCAAAAGAAUGAAACAAAAAAAUAAUAAACCAAGACAA
Molecule: unclassified non-coding RNA, 240 nt
Filed under: soil metagenome
Description: partial contains 5.8S ribosomal RNA, internal transcribed spacer 2, and large subunit ribosomal RNA
Source: RNAcentral